GUUAGGAAUAUUGGACAAUGGGCGCAAGCCUGAUCCAGCCAUGCCGCGUGAGUGAUGAAGGCCUUCGGGUUGUAAAGCUCUUUAGUCCACGAAUAUAAUGACUGUAGUGGAAGAAUAAGCCCCGGCUAACUUCGUGCCAGCAGCCGCGGUAAUACGAAGGGGGCGAGCGUUAUUCGGAAUCACUGGGCGUAAAGCGUGCGUAGGCUGUUUUGUAAGUCAGAAGUGAAAGCCCAGGGCUUAACCCUGGAAUUGCUUUUGAAACUACAAGACUCGAAUUCGGGAGAGGAUAGCGGAAUUGUGAGUGUAGCAGAGAAAUGCGUAGAUAUUGACAGGAACACCAGUGGCGCAAGCGGCUAUCUGGACCGAUAUUGACGCUGAGGCACGAAAGCGUGGGGAGCAAACAGGAUUAGAAACCCGUGUAGUCC
This 425-nucleotide ribosomal RNA is filed under the name uncultured bacterium. RNAcentral describes it as "partial 16S ribosomal RNA". It matches the Rfam family "Bacterial small subunit ribosomal RNA", at positions 354 to 796 of the family's 1533-position model. The record is from RNAcentral.